Molecule: long non-coding RNA, 136 nt
Organism: Syngnathus acus (greater pipefish)
Lineage: Eukaryota; Metazoa; Chordata; Actinopteri; Syngnathiformes; Syngnathidae
Exons: 3
Source: RefSeq, a predicted model, not a curated record
UAACAACACCCCCCAUCUCCAGAUAAGAAAGUUUUAUACUGUCCGGAAAAGGCGGGAAAGCGUCACCUGACCAUUUGGUAUCUAUGUGUAUUGGAGAGUCACUGCCCUGUGUGCAUGACUGUUUGUUGUUGGUCUC